AGGAGAAGGAAAGGGUUGUGCAUGCUGAAAUGGCAGUGGUGGGCCAGACUGUGGAUGCUCAGCAAAGUGGGAAGGGCGUCAAAGAACCAGCCAGGGCUGUGAGUGGCGAGAUAGGUUGACAGAGCUGAUCUUUGGAUCCUGGCAACUGUGAUGGAGGGCUACAGGAGGAGGAGGGGGGGAAUGCCUAUGUUUGCUGAAUUAGGAAUGGUGGGGGAGGCUGUGUAUGCUGAGGUACAGCUUGUGGGAAGAUCAGUGAUUGGUGACAUAUGAAGUAAGAAUAGAGCUUUGGAUGGUGACGUAAUAAAGGCCCAAGGACUCUGAAAGAGAAGGAAGGGGCCGUUUGUGGUGAUCUGAGUGACAGCGGGGCAUGCAUUCUGGGUUGGCAGUGGUGGGUGGUAUUGUGUGUGUUGAUGUCCAGGGGUGGGCAUGGCUCUGCAUGCUGAGGUUGGAGUGGUGGGUGGUGGUGCAAGUCUUGCCCUAGGCAUUUAGGGUCUCCAGAGUACAAGGAAGAGGCUGUAGGUAUUGACUUAUGGAGAGAGAGGGCGACCUUUGGAUAGUGACAUACUAUGGCCACUGGAAGGAGAAGAGCAAGACUGUAUGCUGAAGUAGGAGUGGUGACCUAGGGUGUGUCUCAACAGUAACAGGGAUGGUUGUCAAUGGUAAGAUAUGAAGUCGGCCUGAGGCGUUGGACGGACAUUAGAUACAAUGCGAUUCAGGGCCAUUGGACGUGGGGGGCGGAGCCGUGCAGGUUAAAGUGAGGGUAACUAGUAAAGGUUGUGAGCGCUGACCCAGUUGGGUGAGGCCUUGGGAGAAGCAGGGCAGUGUUGUGAGCUGUGGAUCCUGUCACACUACAGUUUGCACUGCUGAUGAAGGGCUGGGCUGUGAGUGCUGACCUCUGUGGCUGGGUCCUUGGGAGCAGUGGUAUAGAAAGUGGGAAGUGAGCAUUGAGUUCUAACCUCAUAGAGGAGAUGCUAAGGGAGAAGCAGCGCUGAUGGAGUUGACGAUAACUAGGGGCAGAGAUGAAGGACAAGCAGGGGGCUGCGAGUGCUGUGGUAGAGCUGGAGGAGCUUCUGUGAGACCCAGGCUUCUUCCUCCUUGGAUGACUGCCAGCUUCCUACCUGACAGCUGACCACAAACUUGGAGCCAUUUCAAAUCAUGAGCCAGGGCACCCUGAAUGUAAACUGCUCCUCCCCCUGUACCCUGCUGUACCAAAGAACUGGAACUUGCCCAAGGAACCACAUCCUUGAAGUAGCUGUCUUGUACUGGGGAGCUAUAGAAGGGCUCCCUAUCCUGACUCACACAAUUUCCUGAGAGUAUGUGUAACACGAAAAAGACCCAGAGACAGAUAUUGGGGUUGAAGCUUCAAGCUGAAGAUCAGAGAAGCAAAACAGCAGCCACUAGCUCUUACCUCUACCUCAGUCUGAAAGGGCCGUCUUGUCCUCAGCAUGACUGAACUCUCCACACAACCUCAGACUGCAAUCCUGUCUCCACCAAGCCUCAAACUGCAAUCCUCUACUGUAGCCUCUCCCUUUUAUACAUUUCAAAUCCUGAGAUUAAAGGCAUGUGAUCUUAAGUGCUGUGAUCA
Non-coding RNA from Cricetulus griseus (Chinese hamster), 1585 nucleotides. Lineage: Eukaryota; Metazoa; Chordata; Mammalia; Rodentia; Cricetidae. The record is from RefSeq and is a predicted model, not a curated record.